Molecule: ribosomal RNA, 457 nt
Filed under: uncultured bacterium
Lineage: Bacteria
Description: partial 16S ribosomal RNA
Rfam family: Bacterial small subunit ribosomal RNA
Source: RNAcentral
CCUAGGGGGGCAGCAGUGAGGAAUAUUGGUCAAUGGGCGCGAGCCUGAACCAGCCAAGUAGCGUGAAGGAUGACUGCCCUACGGGUUGUAAACUUCUUUUGUACAAGGGUAAACCUGAAUACGUGUAUUCAGCUGAAAGUACUGUACGAAUAAGGAUCGGCUAACUCCGUGCCAGCAGCCGCGGUAAUACGGAGGAUGCGAGCGUUAUCCGGUUUUAUUGGGUUUAAAGGGUGCGUAGGCGGACUGUUAAGUCAGCGGUAAAAGCCCGGGCUCAACCCCAGCGAGCCGUUGAAACUGGCUGUCUUGAGAUGUCGAGAGGUAUGCGGAAUGCGCAGUGUAGCGGUGAAAUGCUUAGAUAUUGCGCAGAACUCCGAUUGCGAAGGCAGCAUACCGGCGGCGAUCUGACGCUGAGGCACGAAAGCGUGGGUAUCGAACAGGAUUAGAUACCCUAGUAGUC